RNAcentral lists this transfer RNA (76 nucleotides) under Desulfovibrio sp. RNAcentral's name for it is "tRNA-Val". It matches the Rfam family "tRNA". From Rfam's summary of the family: Transfer RNA (tRNA) molecules are approximately 80 nucleotides in length. Their secondary structure includes four short double-helical elements and three loops (D, anti-codon, and T loops). RNAcentral also lists the same sequence under 2 other names. Lineage: Bacteria; Pseudomonadati; Thermodesulfobacteriota; Desulfovibrionia; Desulfovibrionales; Desulfovibrionaceae. The record is from RNAcentral.
GGAUGGUUAGCUCAGUUGGUAGAGCAUCGGUUUUACACACCGAGGGUCGGGAGUUCGAGCCUCUCACCAUCCACCA